GUGGGGAAUAUUGGACAAUGGGCGCAAGCCUGAUCCAGCCAUGCCGCGUGAGUGAUGAAGGCCCUAGGGUUGUAAAGCUCUUUCACCGGAGAAGAUAAUGACGGUAUCCGGAGAAGAAGCCCCGGCUAACUUCGUGCCAGCAGCCGCGGUAAUACGAAGGGGGCUAGCGUUGUUCGGAAUUACUGGGCGUAAAGCGCACGUAGGCGGACAUUUAAGUCAGGGGUGAAAUCCCGGAGCUCAACUCCGGAACUGCCUUUGAUACUGGGUGUCUGGAGUAUGGAAGAGGUGAGUGGAAUUCCGAGUGUAGAGGUGAAAUUCGUAGAUAUUCGGAGGAACACCAGUGGCGAAGGCGGCUCACUGGUCCAUUACUGACGCUGAGGUGCGAAAGCGUGGGGAGCAAACAGGAUUAGAAACCCGAGUAGUCC
This 425-nucleotide ribosomal RNA is filed under the name uncultured bacterium. RNAcentral's name for it is "partial 16S ribosomal RNA". It matches the Rfam family "Bacterial small subunit ribosomal RNA", at positions 354 to 796 of the family's 1533-position model. The record is from RNAcentral.